Molecule: transfer RNA, 63 nt
Filed under: Pinctada albina
Lineage: Eukaryota; Metazoa; Mollusca; Bivalvia; Pterioida; Pteriidae
Description: tRNA-Pro
Source: RNAcentral
AAGAAAGUAGUUUAAAUUAAAACGUCCGCUUUGGGGGUGGAGAAUGGGGCCUCCUCCUUUCUU